AAUCAACGCUGGCGGCGUGCCUCAGACAUGCAAGUCGAACGAUUAAACUUUCCUUCGGGGAAGAUAUAGAGUGGCGCACGGGUGAGUAACACGUAAGUAAUCUACCCUUGGGUGGGAAUAACAUCGGGAAACCGAUGCUAAUACCGCAUAAUGCAGCGGCUUCUUAUGAAGACAGUUGUUAAAGCAUUUAUGUGCCUGAGGAGGAGCUUGCGGCAGAUUAGCAGUUGGUAAGGUAUGGCUUACCAAGGCGACGAUCUGUAGCCGACCUGAGAGGGUGGUCGGUCACACUGACACUGAAUAACGGGUCAGGACUCCUACGGGA
RNAcentral lists this ribosomal RNA (322 nucleotides) under uncultured bacterium. Its description in RNAcentral is "bacterial SSU rRNA". It matches the Rfam family "Bacterial small subunit ribosomal RNA", at positions 32 to 346 of the family's 1533-position model. The record is from RNAcentral.